This 20-nucleotide non-coding RNA is filed under the name Rattus norvegicus (Norway rat). The record is from RNAcentral. Lineage: Eukaryota; Metazoa; Chordata; Mammalia; Rodentia; Muridae.
UGAAUGCUGAUGGAUGCUCA